CAGAGUGCAGCUCUGUGAGGAAACAUAGUAGGGCUUACUACCUCUGAGGGAGUUACUAUAUGAGCUGGCAGAGCACUGUAGAAAUGUUCUUUCUCUCAUGCAACUAAGCUGACAGCCAGGGUUUCCCGUCCCUCAGGGAUUCAAGCCGACUCAUCAUGAACUUCUCUGAAAGGCCAGAGCCCUCUCCAUGAUUUUUGCAAAUUCCUGACAACUAACUUCCUCACGCGUCUGUCCAUCGACAUUCCAGCUGUCACAUCUGAAUGAGGAGAUUUGCACACUCACAAUGGAUUGGAAUAAAGAAGAAAAAGAGGUCCUAAGAAGAAAUCCCUGGUACAAUUCAGGGAGCGAUGGAAGAAUGGGACGGAAGGAGCCAAGAUGCAUAGUUUUGCAACACUAAAAGAAUGACCGAAAUUAGUUUGUUCUCCUCUAAUAUCAUUAAUGAAACCACACAGUGAUGUCACUUCUGAUCACGCUGUAAUUUGAGUUGCUGAUCUUGCGAUAACAAGCUUCCUUUUUGCGCAUUCACAGCGUGUCUACAGUGGAAAAGACCUUCAGGUUAACAGUGAGUAGGUGGAACUCGUCAAGAAAAAUAACUUCACCACAACAACAACAAAUGACAGGAGAGAAAGAAACUUCUUGGGGAGAGCAGAGGGAAAAAAAGUGAAGUCUAAGUAUUAUUACACAUGUGAAAGAAGAGUCAUUUAUUUAAUAGGAAGUAACUCAUUCACACGAAUCUUACUUUGUGGUCCCUCACAAGUACGUAAAUACUACCAAUCAGUCCUCCACAGAUUAUCAUCAAAACUUCUUGGGAAAUGCCUCAUUAAAGAGUCUUUAAAGAUUAAUAUGAGUGUGCAUUACUCAAAUUAUUUCAAAAAGACAUUCAGCACUAUCGACUGUAAUAUAAAUUUCUUUCCCUUCCACGGGUACCACAGCUUGCCAAAUUUAGUAUGAGUUUUGAAUUGAGGCAAAACAUGAAUCCUUUGAACGGUACUCAUCUUUGCAAGAGAAAGCCAUUUCCUGUUUCUAAGAGAAAGGCCGUAUGUGGACUGAGGAAAACUGUUCUUUGGCAUUAAAUAGCUCUUCCCAGGUGUGUUUCCUGGAAAUACUUCUAUCUCAUAAAACUUGAUGAGAAGUAAUUGGUAAAAACCAGUGAAGGAUUCAUAAAUCCCAGACUUUGAAAGAUAAUUAAAAAAACAACAAAAAAACCCCAAAAAACUGAUGCUCUCAAACCUUCCCCUCGAUGUGCACGUUCAUUUUUGUCUACGGCUUUAUCCCUGGGGUUGUAGACUCUGUAACCCUUUUAUUAAAAGAAUGUCAGUGGUCA
Ailuropoda melanoleuca (giant panda) is the source of this 1324-nucleotide long non-coding RNA. RefSeq lists it as uncharacterized. The transcript is spliced from 2 exons. The record is from RefSeq and is a predicted model, not a curated record. NCBI's taxonomy places the organism in Eukaryota, Metazoa, Chordata, Mammalia, Carnivora, Ursidae.